Molecule: long non-coding RNA, 223 nt
Organism: Prunus dulcis (almond)
Lineage: Eukaryota; Viridiplantae; Streptophyta; Magnoliopsida; Rosales; Rosaceae
Exons: 3
Source: RefSeq, a predicted model, not a curated record
UUGGGACGAAUGGGUAGGUGGGGAUUGCCUGUUGAAAAAUACUGAAGAUAAUAUCAUGAAGCAGCAAGCUCUUGACAAGAAACAAGGUGUGGACAAGAAUACAAAAUCAGGACGCUCAGCUCAAACAAAGCCGAAAAGUUCUUCUGAUGCAAAAGCAGAGAAAGAAGACCACAAGAACAAUGUGACAAAGGGGAAGAAGCGGAAGAAUGACUUAGGCCCUGAG